AUGCAGGAAUAUGAAGCAAAUAACGUGAGACGAAGUGCACGGGCCUCACUGGAAAGGAGACUCGCCUGUGUCCACCAACAGCCUACCAGACAAUCGCAAGUGUCACGGAGGCCCCCUGGAUCCAUACACAUGUAUGCACAUAAGGCAACAUGGCUUGAUACAUAUUUCUUAGACCAAGGCUGGAUGCUGGAUCACAUCCAUUUCCCUUCACUGAACUUUUCCAUAUAUCCUUCAUUAGUAAGUGCUUGUUAAGUGCAGGGUUAUGGUGGUCUGAAGUCUAUCAUGGAAACUUAGGGUGUGAAACAAGGACCACCAUGGACAGGACACUAGUCAGACCAUUCUAUCAUUUAUAGAUUUUUUUUUUUUUUUUGUUUUAGUAACAUAGGGGUGCGGUGGUGCAGUGGGUUGGACCGGGUCCUGCUCUCCGGUGGGUCUGGGGUUCGAUUCCUGCUUGGGGUGCCUUGCAGCGGACUGGCAUCCCGUCCUGGGUGUGUCCCCUCCCUCUCCGGCCUUGCGCCCUGUGUUGCCGGGUAGGCUCCGGUUCCCCCGUGUGUGUGUGUGUGUGUGUGUUUGUUUGUUUUAGUUCUUCCAUUUCCCCUUGUCAUUAAGUAAAUCUAACUGAAAGGUAACAUUUAUGUCACUCCAUUACUUUUUUCUAUCCAUUUUCACUUGUGGAAGGCAUGGUGGCGCAGCUGGUUUGACCAGGUCCUGCUCUCCAGUGGGUCUGGGGUUUAAGUCCCGCUUGGGGUGCCUUGCGAUGGACUGGCAUUCCGCCCUGGGUGUGUCCCCUCCCCCUCCAGCCUUAGACCCUGUGUUGCCAGGUUAGGCUCCAGCUUGCUGCGACCCUGGUUGGGACAAGUAGUUUCAGACUGUGUGUGUGUGUGUGUGUGUGUGUGUGUGUGUGUGUGUGUGUGUGUGGGUGGGUGGGUGUGGUUUUUCAUGUACUGGUAAAGAAAAAAAUCUUGUUUUACCUUUGGCAUCAACUAAAAUAUAGUCAAGGAUGGUAAAUGCAAAAUAUUGAAGCCACUGAUACAUUAACUAUAAUUAAAGUGCAGUGGAACUAAUGUAGUAUGUUUUCAAUGUGUGCACAAUAAGACAUCUGUAUAUUUUGACACUUUUUUCUGUAAUAAUUGUUUAAUCUUACUGUACUUUACAUUAAACCGACAGU
RNAcentral lists this long non-coding RNA (1168 nucleotides) under Scleropages formosus (Asian bonytongue). RNAcentral describes it as "lncRNA (ENSSFOG00015027669.1)". The record is from RNAcentral. Lineage: Eukaryota; Metazoa; Chordata; Actinopteri; Osteoglossiformes; Osteoglossidae.